CGGGACGGGUGAGUAACGCGUGGGUAACCUGCCUCAUACAGGGGGAUAACGGUUAGAAAUGACUGCUAAUACCGCAUAAGCGCACAGUACCGCAUGGUACGGUGUGAAAAACUCCGGUGGUAUGAGAUGGACCCGCGUCUGAUUAGCUAGUUGGUGGGGUAACGGCCCACCAAGGCGACGAUCAGUAGCCGACCUGAGAGGGUGACCGGCCACAUUGGGACUGAGACACGGCCCAG
Molecule: ribosomal RNA, 236 nt
Filed under: uncultured bacterium
Lineage: Bacteria
Description: partial 16S ribosomal RNA
Rfam family: Bacterial small subunit ribosomal RNA
Source: RNAcentral